This 560-nucleotide long non-coding RNA is filed under the name Coturnix japonica (Japanese quail). RNAcentral's name for it is "lncRNA (ENSCJPG00005017929.1)". The record is from RNAcentral. Lineage: Eukaryota; Metazoa; Chordata; Aves; Galliformes; Phasianidae.
CGCAGACUGCAAGAAUGCUACACAGUUAUAUCCUGUGGGAGCCCAGAGGGCUGUCAUUUAUAAAACCUGCCCAAGAAAGAGACAAGGACAGAGGCAAGGCUUACAGAAAAAGAAGAGUUGAAGCAGAUCAGUUCAUCUGGAGUGUUUGGUACAUGGUGUAAGGUACAGAGACUGUAGCAAAAGCAUAAAAUGAGAGUGAUUUCAAGCAAAUAAAUAUAGACCGGAAGGGAAGGGAAAUGAAUUAGCACACAACCUCUCAUAAAAUAAGGAAGGAAGAGAACAUGGUACCCAGAGAGAAAGUAGCAUGGAGACAGAAAGAAGGGGAUUGCCUCUCUAAUUAUGGAAAUGCAAGAGAAGAUGGCGUUGAGCUGGAAGAGUGCGAUGGAACUUAAGAUAUUUGGACAGACCCAGCCACAGGAGAUGAAGCUUAAUUUCCCAUGUGUACGUAUAUACUUUCCUUCUUAUGGGUCACUUCAGCAGAACUUCAUACCAUAUGUAGUAUGUAUAGAAGUACACAGUGACAAACCUUUCCAUGCUGGAAACAACUUGAUACACUGAAG